Molecule: transfer RNA, 82 nt
Filed under: Clostridia bacterium
Lineage: Bacteria; Bacillati; Bacillota; Clostridia
Description: tRNA-Leu
Rfam family: tRNA
About the family: Transfer RNA (tRNA) molecules are approximately 80 nucleotides in length. Their secondary structure includes four short double-helical elements and three loops (D, anti-codon, and T loops).
Source: RNAcentral
GCGGUUGUGGCGGAAUGGCAGACGCGCCGGAUUUAGGUUCCGGUGUCUUUAUGAUGUAUGGGUUCAAGUCCCUUCAACCGCA